This 417-nucleotide ribosomal RNA is filed under the name uncultured bacterium. RNAcentral's name for it is "bacterial SSU rRNA". It matches the Rfam family "Bacterial small subunit ribosomal RNA", at positions 355 to 787 of the family's 1533-position model. The record is from RNAcentral.
UGGGGAAUAUUGCACAAUGGGGAAAGACCCUGAUGCAGCGACGCCGCGUGAGCGAAGAAGUAUUUCGGUAUGUAAAGCUCUAUCAGCAGGGAAGAAAAUGACGGUACCUGACUAAGAAGCCCCGGCUAACUACGUGCCAGCAGCCGCGGUAAUACGUAGGGGGCAAGCGUUAUCCGGAUUUACUGGGUGUAAAGGGAGCGUAGACGGAAGAGCAAGUCUGAUGUGAAAGGCAGGGGCCCAACCCCUGGACUGCAUUGGAAACUGCCCAUCUUGAGUGCCGGAGGGGUAAGCGGAAUUCCUAGUGUAGCGGUGAAAAUGCGUAGAUAUUAGGAGGAACACCAGUGGCGAAGGCGGCUUACUGGACGGUAACUGACGUUGAGGCUCGAAGGCGUGGGGAGCAAACAGGAUUAGAUACCC